AUUGAACGCUGGCGGCAGGCCUAACACAUGCAAGUCGGACGGUAGCACAGGGGAGCUUGCUCCCCGGGUGACGAGUGGCGGACGGGUGAGUAAUGUCUGGGAAACUGCCUGAUGGAGGGGGAUAACUACUGGAAACGGUAGCUAAUACCGCAUAACGUCGCAAGACCAAAGAGGGGGACCUUCGGGCCUCUUGCCAUCAGAUGUGCCCAGAUGGGAUUAGCUAGUAGGUGGGGUAACGGCUCACCUAGGCGACGAUCCCUAGCUGGUCUGAGAGGAUGACCAGCCACACUGGAGCUGAGACACGGUCCAGACUCCUACGGGAGGCAGCAGUGGGGAAUAUUGCACAAUGGGCGCAAGCCUGAUGCAGCCAUGCCGCGUGAAUGAAGAAGGCCUUCGGGUUGUAAAGUACUUUCAGCGGGGAGGAAGGUGUUGUGGUUAAUAACCGCAGCAAUUGACGUUACCCGCAGAAGAAGCACCGGCUAACUCCGUGCCAGCAGCCGCCGUAA
This 506-nucleotide ribosomal RNA is filed under the name uncultured bacterium. RNAcentral describes it as "partial 16S ribosomal RNA". It matches the Rfam family "Bacterial small subunit ribosomal RNA", at positions 29 to 523 of the family's 1533-position model. The record is from RNAcentral.